AUUGAACGCUGGCGGCAGGCCUAACACAUGCAAGUCGAGCGGAUGAAGGGAGCUUGCUCCUGGACUCAGCGGCGGACGGGUGAGUAAUGCCUAGGAAUCUGCCUGGUAGUGGGGGAUAACGUCCGGAAACGGGCGCUAAUACCGCAUACGUCCUGAGGGAGAAAGUGGGGGAUCUUCGGACCUCACGCUAUCAGAUGAGCCUAGGUCGGAUUAGCUAGUUGGUGGGGUAAAGGCCUACCGAGGCGACGAUCCGUAACUGGUCUGAGAGGAUGAUCAGUCACACUGGAACUGAGACACGGUCCAGACUCCUACGGGAGGCAGCAGUGGGGAAUAUUGGACAAUGGGCGAAAGCCUGAUCCAGCCAUGCCGCGUGUGUGAAGAAGGUCUUCGGAUUGUAAAGCACUUUAAGUUGGGAGGAAGGGCAGUAAGUUAAUACCUUGCUGUUUUGACGUUACCAACAGAAUAAGCACCGGCUAACUUCGUG
This 484-nucleotide ribosomal RNA is filed under the name uncultured bacterium. RNAcentral describes it as "partial 16S ribosomal RNA". It matches the Rfam family "Bacterial small subunit ribosomal RNA", at positions 30 to 507 of the family's 1533-position model. The record is from RNAcentral.